Molecule: ribosomal RNA, 253 nt
Filed under: uncultured bacterium
Lineage: Bacteria
Description: partial 16S ribosomal RNA
Rfam family: Bacterial small subunit ribosomal RNA
Source: RNAcentral
UACGGAGGGUGCAAGCGUUGUCCGGAAUCACUGGGCGUAAAGGGCGCGUAGGCGGCCUGAUAAGUCGGGGGUGAAAUCCUGCGGCUCAACCGCAGGGCUGCCUCCGAGACUGUCGGGCUGGAGCACGGUAGAGGCAGAUGGAAUUCCCGGUGUAGCGGUGGAAUGCGUAGAGAUCGGGAAGAACAUCAGUGGCGAAGGCGGUCUGCUGGGCCGUUGCUGACGCUGAGGCGCGACAGCGUGGGGAGCAAACAGG